UAGAGGCAGCAGCUAAGAAUAUUGGGCAAUGGGCGAAAGCCUGACCCAGCAACGCCGCGUGAAGGAAGAAGGUCUUCGGAUUGUAAACUUCUUUUAUGAGGGACGAAGGACGUGACGGUACCUCAUGAAUAAGCCACGGCUAACUACGUGCCAGCAGCCGCGGUAAU
Molecule: ribosomal RNA, 167 nt
Filed under: uncultured rumen bacterium
Lineage: Bacteria
Description: partial 16S ribosomal RNA
Rfam family: Bacterial small subunit ribosomal RNA
Source: RNAcentral